GACGAACGCUGGCGGCGUGCUUAACACAUGCAAGUCGAACGGAAAGGCCCUGCUUUUGUGGGGUGCUCGAGUGGCGAACGGGUGAGUAACACGUGAGUAACCUGCCCUUGACUUUGGGAUAACUUCAGGAAACUGGGGCUAAUACCGGAUAGGAGCUCCUGCUGCAUGGUGGGGGUUGGAAAGUUUCGGCGGUUGGGGAUGGACUCGCGGCUUAUCAGCUUGUUGGUGGGGUAGUGGCUUACCAAGGCUUUGACGGGUAGCCGGCCUGAGAGGGUGACCGGCCACAUUGGGACUAAGAUACGGACCAGAAUCCUACGGGCCGCAGCAGUGGGGAAUAUUGCACAAUGGGCGGAAGCCUGAUGCAGCAACGCCGCGUGCGGGAUGACGGCCUUCGGGUUGUAAACCGCUUUCGCCUGUGACGAAGCGUGAGUGACGGUAAUGGGUAAAGAAGCACCGGCUAACUACGUG
Molecule: ribosomal RNA, 468 nt
Filed under: uncultured bacterium
Lineage: Bacteria
Description: partial 16S ribosomal RNA
Rfam family: Bacterial small subunit ribosomal RNA
Source: RNAcentral